UAGUAGCGGCGAGCGAGCGGGAAGAGCUCAAAUUUAUAAUCUGGCACCUUCGGUGUCCGAGUUGUAAUCUCUAGAAGUGUUUUCCGCGUUGGACCGCACACAAGUCUGUUGGAAUACAGCGGCAUAGUGGUGAAACCCCCGUAUAUGGUGCGGACGCCCAGCGCUUUGUGAUACACUUUCAAUGAGUCGAGUUGUUUGGGAAUGCAGCUCAAAUUGGGUGGUAAAUUCCAUCUAAAGCUAAAUAUUGGCGAGAGACCGAUAGCGAACAAGUACCGUGAGGGAAAGAUGAAAAGCACUUUGGAAAGAGAGUUAACAGUACGUGAAAUUGUUGGAAGGGAAACGCUUGAAGUCAGACUUGCUUGCCGGAGCUUGCUUCGGUUUGCAGGCCAGCAUCAGUUUUCCGGGGUGGAUAAUAACGGUUUGAAGGUAGCAGUCUCGGCUGUGUUAUAGCUUUCCGUUGGAUACAUCCUGGGGGACUGAGGAACGCAGCGUGCUUUUUGCGAAAGACUCGUCUUUUUCACGCUUAGGAUGCUGGUGGAAUGGCUUUAAACGACCCGUC
This 559-nucleotide ribosomal RNA is filed under the name Rhodotorula glutinis. Its description in RNAcentral is "eukaryotic LSU rRNA". It matches the Rfam family "Eukaryotic large subunit ribosomal RNA", at positions 81 to 653 of the family's 3401-position model. Lineage: Eukaryota; Fungi; Basidiomycota; Microbotryomycetes; Sporidiobolales; Sporidiobolaceae. The record is from RNAcentral.